This 305-nucleotide ribosomal RNA is filed under the name uncultured bacterium. RNAcentral describes it as "bacterial SSU rRNA". It matches the Rfam family "Bacterial small subunit ribosomal RNA", at positions 333 to 654 of the family's 1533-position model. The record is from RNAcentral.
CAAGGCCUACGGGGGGCAGCAGUGGGGAAUAUUGCACAAUGGGGGAAACCCUGAUGCAGCGACGCCGCGUGAGUGAAGAAGUAUUUCGGUAUGUAAAGCUCUAUCAGCAGGGAAGAAAAAAGACGGUACCUGACUAAGAAGCCCCGGCUAACUACGUGCCAGCAGCCGCGGUAAUACGUAGGGGGCAAGCGUUAUCCGGAUUUACUGGGUGUAAAGGGAGCGUAGACGGCCAGACAAGUCUGAAGUGAAAAUCCAGCGCUUAACGUUGGAAGUGCUUUGGAAACUGCCGGGCUAGAGUGCAGGAG